This is a long non-coding RNA of Canis lupus familiaris (dog), 546 nucleotides long. RefSeq lists it as uncharacterized. The record is from RefSeq and is a predicted model, not a curated record. NCBI's taxonomy places the organism in Eukaryota, Metazoa, Chordata, Mammalia, Carnivora, Canidae. The transcript is spliced from 3 exons.
CCCCGGCGCAGCCGCACUGAAGCCCGAAGGGGUUAAAACCUAAUCGCGGGGGAGGAGGCCAGAACCCAGGCGUUCUGGCCCCUCCUCCCUCCGUCCCUAGCUCAGGGUCCCAUUCUCCGACGCAAAGACGACAAGGCCUGGCUUCAGGGCCCUGCAGGCCUGGGCUGGAGAGCCACAUCCUGGGUCGGGCGGGGGUCGGUGGCUGGGGACCCGGACUCCUGGGUUCUGGGAGGCUGCGGGAGCCUUCAAAUGGGUCCAGAGGAUGCCAGGGACCAACACACUUGGAACCGGGUGUCUUACUGUCUGGACCUGAGACCAAGCCCCUGCCCUUUCUCCCCGGAGUCUUGGCCUUCUGCUCUGCCUUCCAAGGAUCCCAGGGCUCACUGCUGUUUCCUCAAAUAACUAGAAUGCGGUCUUCCCCAAGCCCACUGGAGCACUCGUCCUGUAUGUGCAUCUGCGCAUGUAUGUUUGGGUAGAUGUGUGUCAAAAGAGCUUAGAGGGCCAAGUGGGUAAUAAAGGGCCGAGAGGUGGUUCAUGGUUUGUUCC